UUUUUACUUAUUUUGUUAAACAUUUCACAAUUACAUUUUGGUUUGGUUCCACUGCACUUGGGAAUUGUCCAAUUGUUCCCUGCCUUCCCCCACCUCCCUUACACCAAUAUUGAUACUCCAUGGUUAAGAAAAUGGGUCAGUCAAGUAUAUUGACACUUCACAAUGCAUCUUCUCCUCCUCUUUAACUAGUGGUAGAAGUGAUUAUGCAGACUCUAGUCAGUUGUGCUGGGAAGGAGCACCUUCUGGUUAGAAGAUCAGCAUUCCCUGGAAAAGUUGAAUAGUCCUGCCAUCAGCAUCUGCCAGCAAACAGACUUUUCCCUUUGGAACUCUGGUACACCAGCUGCAACAGCAAGACAACCACCAACAUUUGGUUUAGAAUUGAACAGGGAUCUCAGAGGUUAACUUGUCAAAUUCAUAUCGAAGGACAGAAUCCCCUUUACUACAACCCCUGAAAAGAGGUAAUUUAAUUUUUCCUUAUAGACUUUUAUGUAUCUAUAUGUAAUAAAGUAAUACAGAUCUCAAACUCUCCCA
Molecule: long non-coding RNA, 531 nt
Filed under: Monodelphis domestica (gray short-tailed opossum)
Lineage: Eukaryota; Metazoa; Chordata; Mammalia; Didelphimorphia; Didelphidae
Description: lncRNA (ENSMODG00000034814.2)
Source: RNAcentral